This 301-nucleotide ribosomal RNA is filed under the name uncultured bacterium. Its description in RNAcentral is "partial 16S ribosomal RNA". It matches the Rfam family "Bacterial small subunit ribosomal RNA", at positions 509 to 807 of the family's 1533-position model. The record is from RNAcentral.
CAGCAGCCGCGGUAAUACGAAGGGGGCUAGCGUUAAUCGGAAUUACUGGGCGUAAAGCGUGCGCAGGCGGUUUGUUAAGACAGAUGUGAAAUCCCCGGGCUCAACCUGGGAACUGCAUUUGUGACUGGCAAGCUAGAGUAUGGCAGAGGGGGGUGGAAUUCCGCGUGUAGCAGUGAAAUGCGUAGAUAUGCGGAGGAACACCGAUGGCGAAGGCAAUCCCCUGGGCCUGUACUGACGCUCAUGCACGAAAGCGUGGGGAGCAAACAGGAUUAGAUACCCCGGUAGUCCCUGUCUCUUAUAC